UACGAAGGGGGCUAGCGUUGCUCAGAAUCACUGGGCGUAAAGCGCACGUAGGCGGCUUUCUAAGUCAGGGGUGAAAUCCUGGAGCUCAACUCCAGAACUGCCUUUGAUACUGGAGAGCUUGAGUCCGGGAGAGGUGAGUGGAACUCCGAGUGUAGAGGUGAAAUUCGUAGAUAUUCGGAAGAACACCAGUGGCGAAGGCGGCUCACUGGCCCGGUACUGACGCUGAUGUGCGAAAGCGUGGGGAGCAAACAGG
RNAcentral lists this ribosomal RNA (253 nucleotides) under uncultured bacterium. RNAcentral describes it as "partial 16S ribosomal RNA". It matches the Rfam family "Bacterial small subunit ribosomal RNA", at positions 524 to 776 of the family's 1533-position model. The record is from RNAcentral.